RNAcentral lists this ribosomal RNA (136 nucleotides) under uncultured bacterium. RNAcentral's name for it is "partial 16S ribosomal RNA". It matches the Rfam family "Bacterial small subunit ribosomal RNA", at positions 355 to 508 of the family's 1533-position model. The record is from RNAcentral.
UGGGGAAUAUUGGACAAUGGGGGCAACCCUGAUCCAGCCAUGCCGCGUGAGUGAAGAAGGUCUUCGGAUUGUAAAGCUCUUUUGCCAGGGACGAUAAUGACGGUACCUGGAGAAUAAGCCCCGGCAAACUUCGUGC